AAAUGUUGAAAUAACCACCUAAAAGUGUAACGUGACCAAACAUGUCCUCUCUCUCUUCUUCUCUCUUUAGACCAUUGUCCCAUCACUCUUUACGGUGAAGUGGCAUGUCUAAUAAGGACCAUGAAAAUCACUUCACUUUAAUUCCAAGAGUCAUCCCCUUUGAUCUCCAUUAAAUACCUCUAUUUUCCUACUUCAUCUACAUAAUCUAUUAACGUAUAAGCUUUUUUGUGAACUUUCAUCUCCACAGCAACGAAUUCUCUUGUCCAUCUUUAUUUCUCCCCUUUUAGUUCAAAGCCCUCACUUAUUGCCAAAAUGUAUCUUCUUCGUAUCUAGUUAAAACAUCUUCAGAGGAAAAUGCUCCCAUUAUUAAACAAUCUCUAAAAAAGCCCUCACUGGUUUUUCAAAACCUUUUCUCAGAAGAAAAUCCAUUACCAACUUUGGUCACUGAAGGACCCUUUGGGUCAACUAUCAGUGAAAAAGAACCAAUGAUAGACACUCAAAUCUCUUCGUUGAGCGUAGAAAUAGAAACCUCUGAAAUUAUCCCUCCAUUUUCCAAAUCCACGUCCUAAUCACUCUCCAUUAUCUUUCUUGAGAGUACCCCAUAUAGCUUUCUUCCUGAGUCAAACGUCAUACCUAAACUGUCUAAGAGACUAUUUCCUUUGGCCAUUGUUGAACCUCCUGAGGUAGAAGAAAGUUUUUUUGAAGGGGAAUUACCUGAGGGGCAUGGAAAUACCCCAAGUAGUGUUAAGGCGGGUGCUGAUUGGGUAGAGAUAGUCUAAUAAAGCUAGCAUAAGGUUCUCCAUUGAUUUUUGAUUCUCCUCCUAAGUCUCCUAGUUCAAAAUACGAUGAUACCCCUAUUUCUACAGGGGUGGUUAAGAAAGUUGUUCAUCUUCUAGUGGAGGAUAAUGAGGGGGAAGACGCUUUUGCCAAUCACUCCUGGAAUAAAGUAGGGAGAAGAGGAUAUUCAGGAAAAUAGCAGGUUUUUGAGAAGCCUGUUCAAUAAUCAUACAAUACUCGAGGGGUAGAGCAAAAGUUAAUGAGUGAUACAUUUAAGGAAAGGAAUCGAACCACUACUAGGAAAAGAAAUGCCAAGAAAAAGGCUGCAAGUGAGAAACCUAUCUCGCUUCCUGAAAAGUAAUGGAUGUGAAAGUGGAAGAUCAAAAUAAGACAAUUAAAAUUGAUGAUGAUAUUGUGAUUGCUGCUUAUAGAGAGGGUAAAAGGAUGGAAGUUUCAAAAUCUGCGAAGCCUACAACACCCAAGACAAAGGGUGCCAGUAAGAAAAAACACACACCAAUCAAACAAAGAAGGUUUUUUUGGGGAUCUGGUACCGAGGGUGUCUUGUAAGAACCUGAAGGGACUGGUCCACUGGUUGAGGGACUUGGUUCCUCCAAAAAAAAAAGAAAGAUUCAAGAGGUUGCUCCUGGUCUCACAAGGGACAAGAGGAACGAGAUCCUUAAAUUCCAAAAGGUGCUGAGUGGAAGGGUCUUUGACACAAGAAUUUGAGAUAAACUUGGAAUGACUGAGAUUGUUCAAUAUGUUGAAUACUAAGUUUGGCUGUACAUUUUUUAGACUCGUGCACCAAUGGUAUAUGAAGAUGAAGUCAAGAACUUCUUCUUCACAUUAUAAUAUGUUGUUUAUCUAUCUAGUCUAACUUCAAUGGUGCAUGAAGUUUAGAUAUUUCUGUAUGAAAAGUUACUUGGGCAUAUCAUUGGUGUGCCUGUUGAUGGGAUCAAUUCAGUCUAAAGAAAAUAACCUUCUCUUGCCUUUGUACAGUCUGCUUCUAAAGCCGAUGGAGAUUCUAAGACUGAAGUCAAAAAAAAGUUUCUAAAAGGUGAAUUCCAGCUUCUCUUUGAAUUUGUUAACAAGGUACUGCUUCCCCACUCAGAGAAACGUAUAUUAUCCCCUGAAUUCCAGCUUCUUUUUGAAUUUGUUAACAAGGUACUGCUUCCCCACUCAGAGAAACGUAUAUUAUCCCCUGAAACAGACCUAUUUUUGAUGGAAACUCUUAGUAAACUUAAGAUGAUCAAUCUACCUGCUCUAAUUCUUGAGCAUUUACAUAAGGUGUUGCUGUCACGACCUAAGCCAGGGCCCUGGCCGUAACGAGCAUCCCAAACAAUAGAGGCCCGGGCGCCCUUCUACAUUUGGUAAUCAUGCACAAUACUCAUACAAUAAAAAAAGGAUGCAGAAAUAUAAAUCAUUACAGAAUUAUGAUUAUGAUUUGAGUUAAGCAUAUUAAUACGAAAGAAGAUCCAUCAACAUCUAGACAACAUCUAUUUCUGUCAGCGAAAUCUCUAAUACAUACCAAAAUUAACCAACUAUCUGAAACUGGGACAAGGUCCCAAGUGGACCUAAACCAAAGUAAAUAACGAGUGACUGAAAGAAAUAGGCCUUCCAAAAUAAAGAAGGCUCACCAACUGUACCCUUCACUUCUACCUGAAUUACUCUACGGCUUAGCAGGACCAAUAGACUGAGCCUCAGACCUUGAAAUAUAGGGGGUCAAUACAAUUGUACUUAUAUGCAAAGCAAUCCAAAAUAAUUAAUUUUUACGUAUAUAACCCAAGUUUGCUGCAAGGGUUGAAGUAUCUGAAUCUGAUACACCCCAAGGAACUAGGCCAGCGUAUAAUCCCUCUUGGGAAAAUAAUAAACCUGUAUCGGCAAAACAUGGUUUUGGGCAAUGAAUCAUAUAACUUGCACCUACUUUGGGUAACCACCUAACUCUCUUAGUGCCCAUUUUUAACCUGUUCUAACCAUGCAUCUUUCUGAAUUCAAAAGCUGAAAAUUUGAAAUGAAAUCUGUAUUCUAUUCUGAGUUUUAUCAUGGCCUUAUCUAAUUUGGUAUCAUCAUACCAAGAAUUGUAAGUCAUAUAUCUGAGCCAUAAAAUGCCAUGUAUGAUUCUUUCAUUCUAAAAUAAUGUUCAGGCCACCCAAACAUGCAUAUAGUAUAGGAAAAUUCAUGUUUCAAAUUACAAGUCAAAAUCAUGCAAAGGUUUUUUCCAUCCAUUCAACAAUUUAAACAAGUGGUGGCCAAUUUCUCAAAACAUUCAUGAAAUCCUUUCAUUUAUCAUUUUUGAAAUUUAAAUCAUAAUAAAAUUUCUCUCUUCAAUUCUCAAUCAUCAUAAAAUUCAAGUAAGAUAAUAAGGCUCUUGACUCAUUCUUUAAAUCAUGCAAUUUAGAAUUCCAUAACUUGUAAAUCAAGUAGUAACACAAUAGUAGAGGGAAAAGAUUCGAUGAUUCAUGCUCUUAAUUCAUAUUUCAAGGAUUCAACACAAACAUACAUAUAUACUAGUCAAAUCACUUUUAAGGGAAGGUCUCAAGACCAAAACAAUACUAUCAAUGGUUUCAGAAGCAUGAUUAUAAAUUUUAAAUCCAAAACUCUUUUUGUAAGUUCAUGAUUUCUAAACAUUUAACAUAUUUAAGAAGAAUUUACUAUGCCCAUGUAGUUUUAGGAAACCCCACGUACCUUAGGUUUCGUAGAAAUCACAAAGAAAUUUUGAAAAGAUAAGCUUGAGUUCCCAAACCCUAGUUGUUUUUCUCCUAUUGUGUUCUUGAUUUGAAAAAUGAAGUCCAAUUCUUGAAACUUUCUUGAGAAUCUCGAACUUGAAAGGAUUGAAUUCUAGAUUACUUGGAGGAGAAGAGUUGAAUUGUGUUCUUGGGAAAAGGGAGGUUUUUACAUGAGUUGAUUUGAAGAAGAUGGGCAAAUAAUGCCCCUCUUUGGGUUAUAAUUCAUGUUUGGACGACUGGGGAUGGGGGAAAGGACUAAACUACCCCUUGGCCUCUCUUUCCCAUGUAAAUGACCAUCGUGGCGUGAUUCCCAAAAACAAAAAUGAAACUCGAAUCGCGACUCCCAGGAACGGGUAUGAAACUCGCGUCGCGACCUUAUCGCGAUAGCUCACUGCCUCACAUGAAAAAUGACAUAACUUUUCACUCGGGUAUCUGAUUUUAGCGAAAUUAGUAUCGUUGGAAAGCUAAUUCAAUUAUCUACAAUUUGGUGGUAUUAAUAUGCUAAAUUAUAUAUAUAAAAAAGGUUAUACUCGUUCAAAGAUGACCCUUGUAGUAUCAAAUUCCAAACUUUGGGCAAAUCAUAGGGUCUUAGCUCAACUUGGCACUAAAUGAUUUCUAUGAACUCUUUUCACCUCAUAAUAACUUCAUACACUAGGAUAAGGAUCAUGACACAUGAAUUUAAAUAUAAACCAUGGGAUUAGAGAUUACGCAUGUAGGAAUGACGGUUUGCUUUCUAGCUUGAAAAAUGUGAGGUAUUAUAGUUACAUUUCAAGGAUAGAAAGCAUGGGCUUCCUUACGAAUACAUCCUCACUAAGGUUGACAAAAAUUUCAAAAUUGAAUGUAUGGAGGAGUUCAAGGGACUGCAAAACAAAUGUUUACUAUGACCACAUUGAUUGAAAAUGAGUGCUUGGAAAGAAAAUUUGGGACCAAGUCCCAAGUAUCAUAGUUGUUAGAUAUUCAGGAGCACCUCAGUGACGAGUUGGAGGAGAUGAGAUUGGAAGUGGCCACACGUGAUGUUGAGAUCUCUCAGUCGAAGGCUAUGAUACAACAACUGAUGUCUGAGGGACCCGGUGCCUCUACUGGGCUGAGGGGAUAGAAAUCACUGCACUUACUAAUGAGAUCUUGAGUCUAUAAGCUGAGGUCAAGGAUCCCGCCAAAUACUUGUUGAAUGCUGAUAGUGCAGAGAGUGCUCGAAUGGAACUACUUCUUAAUAUCCUAGCCCCCAAACCUCCUUUUACCUAGGAUCAACUCCUUCUAAGCCUUGUGUAUCUCUUGUUUUGUUUUCCUGUUUUGGUUCCUUUCUUCUUUGUCUCUGUCUAUUGUGGCACUUUUGGUUGUUUUAAUGUUUUACACUUUACAAAGUAACUGGUGCUAGCUUCUUGUUAUUGAAGUAUCUUCUCUUGGUUUUGUCUACUACAUGCCUUGUGUCUCUCUAUUUUAUUCAUGUAAGUGCAGCCUCAAUGGCCAUGCGUUAACUUGUCUGCAUAAUUAUUCUCAUUGUUUACCGAUGAUCUUUCUUAAUGAUGCCAAAAAGUAAAUGUUACUGGUAUUGGUAGUAGAGGGACUUGGUGCUAUCGAUAAGAGGACUGUGCUAUAUGGGCAAGUGGUUAAGUGGUCCAAACGAUAGGGGGGAUAGUUUUUCAUUAUCAAAAAGGGGAAAAAUAUUACCCCUCUAAGGUUUUGAUGAUCUGCAAACUAUUCCACAAAGGACCUGAUAGACAUCCUAUUAUUUUCCAUGGGACAUGGUCUCAGUUUAAGUAUUCCUUGACAAUGACACGUCUGACUACAGCUGGAAGCUGUACUUUCCUACAGAAAGUUGGUGGCCCGACAUUAAAGAAGCCGGACCUUGACCAAUAAGAAAACACCUAGGUUCUUUUGUCUCAUAUAUAAGAAUCCUUUGAUCACAACAAAACCUUGUUUUUGCAAGCAUUAGGAUUGAAUUAAUCAAGAAGCAAAAGUUGCUCAAGAGCACAGUCUACACAGGGGCCUGAUUGCUCGUUCAUCGUAAGUCUAGUGUGUGUGUUGUAUUAUUGGGUCUUUUGGUUUUAUAUUGUAAAUCCACUCCUGAUUAUAAAGGAUAGUUGAUGUGUAGCUUGUCCAUGUCUUAGUUUGAGUCGAAGAAACUAGAGUUGGUUGUUCGAGUCGGGUAUAAGUGGGUCAGGUAUUUGUUCGUUUCUUUCAAGUGUUGGGUCCUGGGUAGAGUUGCCUAGGAUGUGUGACUAUAGUUAGUCAACUGUUAGUGUGUUAGAGUUAUCACACUUGUCUUGUGGUAGAGUUGUCACAAGAGCUAGUGAUUAUAGGAGUUUGUAAUCACUUGGUGGCUUGAAGAAGAGUGGAGUUUGGAAAUUGUGAUGGCAGAUCAUGGUUUUCACUUCCCUUGAGCAAGGAAGUUUCCACAUAAAACUGUUAUGUUCUUUACUUUAAUGCAUUAUUGUUUCUUCAGUUAUUAUUUACUGUACUCAUAAGUUUAGGGACCUGGUACUGUUGUGUUCUGUGGACUCAGAUAUUCCAUCAGGUAUGUUGUUGUUGUUUAAGUUAAUAGUUGUACAUGAAAAGUUAAAAUAUAAGUUUAUGUGAUGAGACAAUGACUUGUUGUAUGAGAAUUAACAAGCAAAAAUAGAACUAAUCGCCUAAAUACUUGAAUUAAGUGAAGAAGCAAAAUAAUAUUAGUUAUCACCUAUAUUGGUUCAGAUGUCUCCUCUUGGUCGCUUGGAUAUUUUCUUGAAAAAUAUGAACUUAAAAUGAAGAAGUGAAUCAGUUAGUUUCUCACUUUUCUAUCUGCACUCUUGAUGGCUGAGUUGCUCCUUAAAAACAAUGUUUGUUCAAUUUCGAUAAUUGCUAAAACUCUUAGAAUCUUGAAGACAUAAUGAUAAAAAAAUAUGUCGUAAAUUUGAUUCUCACCAUAAAAUGAAAACACAUUGAUGAUAAGUAACAUUUGUUAUCAUUCAGUGAUAACUGCCAAAAGUUCAUAAUCACUUACGAUCAUUUACUCUCAAACACGUGUUGCAAAAGAAACGUAUUUGAGGGAGAUUGAAAAACUUUGCACCACUUUAGAAUGAUAGUUAUAUCUCACCGAACCCGAGCUAGUACCUCUCACAAAAGGGCGAUACUUGCUAAAUUGAACCAUCAAUAUAUAGGUGAAGACAGAGAAAUAAAGAGGAACAAAAUUGAAUAAUAAAUAAGAUUUGGAUAUAAUCAAAUUCGCCAUAACCCAGUUUGAGUCCUUCAUUGUAAGUCAAUUAACAAGAAAAAAUGCAUCUAUUCCUUUAAGAACUUGAAUUAAGUAAAGAAGCAAAAUACUAUCACCUAUAUUGGUUCAAAUGUCUCCUAUCUGUUGCUUAGACAUACCCGUAAACUUGAAACUAAAAUAAAGAAGUGAAUUUAGAGUGCAUGAAUUUGACAUAAAACAUAGUCAUUCUCCAUAGUGCAGUUGGCUAAUAGUGGUUGCUAGAAUUUGUGUAUAUUGUCUAAUAUAUAUGUUAUAGUAUCACAUAAGAGUUCCAAAAUUUGAACUGCCAGACUUAUGAAUGAGAGUCUUUUAUCAAUAUGGCCAGACUGUGAAGAGUUCUGCAUUUUUGCACCAAGUAAUGAAGAGUGGCACUUAUAUAAUUUACCCUUGAUUCCUCAAGUCUGUUCUAAUAUGACAAAGACAUUGUAUUACAUUUCAACAACAGUAAUUGCUCCCUAGUCCUUCAGUAGCUGUAGUUGAUUAGCCUUGUAGUUCUCUGUUCCUUAUUUGAAGAAUAUUCUGAUAAUUUGAGCAGUAUCUUAACAUUCCAUGCUUGUUCUCCAGCUAUGUUCUUAGACUUUUGGUAGGUACACCAAUUAGUUUGGGAAAUUUCUGUUUUGAAGCCAGGUCAACAAAGGAAAAGAGUGUAAUAUACUUAAGUUUCCUGAAAUACUGUUUUGCUCAAAUGUUCGUUACCUUUGCUUUCUUUGCCUUGGAACUCCACUCAUAUCUUUGAACGAUAACUAUAAGCACUUCUAUGCACAAUACAAUGUGAUCACAGUUGUUUUGAUCCUAUGGCUAAUUAAUGAAUAAAUAUGACUGACUUAUUUAAUACUGCUUGUGAUAGAUGCAUAUAGUGCAUGCGUUUUUAAUGGGGAACCUUGUGGCAUAUAGCCAAGAGAUAUUGUACGAUGCUAAGUUUGAAGAUAUUGACUUUGUCAACUGCACAUUCACCGUUUUCUUUAAUUUACUGGCUAUAGUGAUCCAUGCUGCGAGACUGUACCUGUAGAGUGUAGAAGUUGAACAAUACAGACACAAUUAGAGCUUUGAUGCACUUGGAACUACAUAAUAAAGAGAGAGUAGAAUGUGCACCUUAGGAAAUGCGAACUGUAAAUGAUGAACAAAUAUUCCUUUAUGUCUACAUUUUACUGAAUUUGGACUUUAUUAGUCUAAAGCAAAAUGCUUUGAAUAUUUCUUGGCAAAUACUGAUUGUUGAGUACAUUUACCCCAUACUAAAUCUUAAAUAGAACACACAUAAAUAUUUGUCCCUUUUUUACCCUUCAAGAUAGUGCAAAAAAACUACUUGGACUUUAAGAUGAUCAGUCUAUUACCUACUUAAUCCAAAAUUGAGCACAUUGAACUGUUAUAAGAACCAUAUGUAAGAGCUAUUUCGGGUGUAGUUUGACAAAUGCUCGCUCAACAAUUUUACUUUAUUGCACAGAUGUUAUUAAAAUAGUUUCGAUAUAAAAGAAAAUAUCUCCUUUAUUUGCUGCUAGCUCUUUGCAUUCGAUAUAGGCACACAUGUAUUUGUUACUACUGGUAUGUUGAUAGCUCCAAACCUAUUGGCGACUUCGCCAAGAAACAUUCACUGUUGACCUCACGACACUAAGGGGGGUGGAUUUAGGAAGGUGGGAGAUGAUAUUUGGUUUCGGUCGCUGGGAUAGAGGGUUGUUUCAUGGUGCUGCUGGUUUGUUGGGACUUGGGAGAGGACCACUUUUCUUUGCCUCUCAACUUCAAUCUUUAUAUGGUCAUUCUUUUUCGUACCUCCUUACGGAUAGAAAGAGAAAUUUUAGUGGAAGAUGCAAACUGACUUUUGGUAAAGAUUAGGACCUUUCGAAGCACCCACAAUGGAAUUUUACUUCUGGUUGGUGGCAAAGAAAAUCAUGCUUUCUACUGAAUGCAGAUAAAAUUUGUCAUAGUUAGAGGAGAGGUAUUGUAACGACCCAUCCCGUCCUUAUAGUUCUGCCAGUGGUGUAAGAGGGGGUAGAGUUACCCUUAGGAUGAGAGUUGUUGAUUAAUUGCCUCACUUACUGCAGUAAAAGUUGAACUAGUUGCUAGACAUUAUCCAGUUUUUUAUCCAUGUUGGACAUUAUCUAGUUUCUUUAAGUCAUGUUCUCUUAACUUAGUUUAGUGACUGAUUUUUAAAUGUUAGUGGUUUAAUUGUUUUGGAUAUUGCUGAACGUGGAAUCAUGUACAAAGUAGUGGUUUAAUUAUAGGCUUUAGUUAUUGUAUUUUUUUUAGUAUUUAAGCACCACUUCAGAUUAAUGAAAAAUCAACCUUUGUGCAGUAAAUUAUUUGUUCUCUUCUUUCUUUCUUUGUUUUCACUUCAAAGAGUUAAAGUUAACCUUACAACUCCAACAAAUUGGUAUCAAGAGCUCUUUUCUUGAAGGACCUGCAUUUGAGGGAAACAUAUCUUUCUCUUCUUGUUUUUUGUUCCUAUGGAUUCGGAUACUCCUUUCAUUGCACUAGCACCACCUGUCUUCAAAGGAAUCACAAGGAAAAGAAAACAAGAAAAUCAAAGGAUAGAGCAACGUUAUUCGCUGUAGUCUCAUCUGAAAUCUUUGUCAGGAUUAUGACAUUGAAAUCAGCUUUUGGGGUUUGGAAUUUCCUAAAGAAAGAAUAUGAAAGAGAUGAACGGAUCAAAGGUAUGCGUACUCUUAACCUGAUCCGAGAAUUUGAACUUCAGAAGAUGAAGGAUUCAGAGACAAUCAAAGAGUAUUCUAAUAGAUUACUCAACAUUUCCAACAAUGUAAGAUUACUUGGCUCUGCAUUUCCUGAUUCUAGAUUGGUUAAAAAAAUUCUAGUAAUAGUCCCCGAAUGGUUUGAAACAACUAUUUCUGCACUGGAAAAUUCUAAGGAUUUGUCACAGAUUAGUUUGGUAGAACUGUUGAAUGCUUUGCAGGCACAAGAAUAGAGAAGACUUAUGAGGUCUGAAGGAUCUGUUAAGGGUGCACUACCUGCAAAAGCUCAAUCAAACCAGGGAGACCAAGGAAAGAAGAAGUGGAACAACAAGGAAAACUCAGGUUCUCAUUCUCCUGGGAUCCAUAGGGGAGCGAAACAUGAUUUUCCUCCUUACAAACAUUGUGGAAAGAAGGGUCAUCCACUGUUCAAAUGCAGGAGAAGGCCAGACCAACAUUGUGAGAAAUAUCAGCAGAUGGGACAUCAUCAGAAGGUUUGCAAGAACAACACUCAGCAAACUAAUACUGCACAAGUAGCUAAUCAGGAAGAUGAAGAGCAACUCAUUAUAGCAGUAGCUGCUCAAGUGACAAGUGGCUUAUUGAUAGUGGUUUCACAAAACACAUGACAUUUGAUCGUGAUCUCUUCAAGGAGUUGGAUACUUCAGUAAUUUCCAAAGUACAAGUUGGUAAUGGAGACUAUAUUUCUGCUGAAGGCAAAGGUACUGUGUAAAUGAAAUGCUCCUCAGGUACAAAACUAAUCAAAGAUGUGUUUUUUGUAUCUAAUAUUAGUCAUAGUCUGUUAAGUGUUGGCCAGAUGCUUGAGAAUGGUUUCAAACUUCUCUUUGAAUCCAAUUACUAUCAAAUCAAGGAUGAAAUGACAGAAACUUAUUCAAGGUAAUGAUGAAGGGAAACAGAUUUAUAUUGGAUCUUUUAGAUCAUGAGCAAAAAUCUUAUUCUGCAACUAAGAUCAAUGCACAAGUUUCACACAAAAGACUCAAACAUUUCAAUCAUGCUGUUGUAAUUAACUCACUAAAGAAAGAUCUGGUUCGAGGGCUGCCUAAUCUUGAAUCCGAAAUACCAGAUAGUUGAACUUGUCAAUUUGACAAGCAAGCAAGACUUUCUUUCAAGAAAGCAACCUAGAGAGCCACUGAAAAGCUAAAAUUAAUCCAUACAGAUCUGACUAGUCCUCACCAAACUCCGUCACUCAAAGGGAGCACUCUCCUCCAAAUAGGGCCCUAUGAGGUGCGAAUCCGUAUUAGUCGAACUCCAAUAUGGGUACCGGACACCGAAUAAAAAAAUUACUAUAAGACGGAUCUUCAAUAGGCAGAUAUGUUUACCAAAGCCUUGUCAAAGAGUAGAUUUGAAUUUCUCAGAGAAAGACUUAAAAUUUACAGCAACUGAAGCAAGGAUGAGUGUUGAUUAAUUGCCUCAGUUACUGCAGUAAAAGUUGAAGUAGUUGCUGGACAUUAUCCAUACUACAAGAAAAGUGCUUAUUACCUGGGAAUUUUCAUAGGGAUAAUGUAGUAAAAUCCCCAAGUAAUUUGAUUACCUGCGGAUUUUCUUACCAAUUAGAAUACAAAGGAAAUACGUUCAUAGGUAAUUAUUACCUGUGAAUUUAUAAAAUUUCUAGGUAAUUUAGCUACAAAAAUAAAUCUGCAGGUAUGUUAUUUGCGAAUUUAUUUGCGAUUAACUAUCAAAAUUUUGCAUGAAUUAUUUGAUAAAAUUUUAUAAAAAAGGAUUUUACCUGCGGAUUUCCAUGAAAAAAUUCACAAAUUAUUUCCCGCGAAGAUUCUCAAGUAAAUCCCUAGGUAAUUUAGUUGCGGAAAUAAAUCCGCAGGUAUGUUAUUUGCGGAUUUAUUUGCGUUUAACUAUCAAAAUUUUACAUGAAUUAUUUGGUAAAAUUUCAUAAAAAGGGAUUUCACCUGCGGAUUUCCACAAAAAAAACUCACAAAUUAUUCUCCAUGAACUAUUUCUCAAAAAAAUUCGUAUUAAAUGCUCAAAGUAAAUCCUCAAGAAUAAAUUUUUUCAAGAAAAUUUUCAUGAAUAUUUAGCAUGUACAUCCCCAUGAAAAUUCUCAACUAAUAAUUCACACGUAAAUUGCUAAAAACAUUUCACAAUUAAUCAAAAAUCUAUUCACAAUCUUCAAUGAUUCUCAAAAAUAUCAUUCAAUACAAGUCUAAUGUAAAUCAUUACAGCUAAUAAAAAAACAUAAUUCAAAACAUCCACAUCAAUAAUGUAUGAUUCUUAAAUAAUCCAAAAUAAAAUAUUCCAAACUUGAAUCCUCAAUAAAACUACCAACCAUCAAGGUCAAAAUCACUUUCAUCCAUGUUAUCAAGAUUAGAAUCACUUUCAUUCACGUAGUCAGAGUCAUCAUCACUUUCAUUCUCUUGGUUGUCUUCUUGAGAUGGGCGUUCAUCAUUUAACAAAUCCUUUAACUUCCAACAGUCGAGAAAGACCUCUCCACCACAAGAGGCCGCUUGUACUAAAUUUCUUGAUGCUACACCAAAAUACACAGAAGACAAAUGACAAGAUUAGAGUUGCAAUAGGAAAAAGGAAAAUACAAAAAGAGUAUAGGCAACAAUGUAGUAAAACAACAGAAACAUCUAUUUCAAUAAAAAUCUUGUUAUUCUCUUACAUUAAUUGAACAGGAAAUAGAAGAGUGGGGUUGAUAUUAUAAUUUUAUGUUACUAUACUUAACCAUUUUCAAGUAACUAAUUCACAUUUCAAGUAACUACACUACACCAUUUUCAAGUAACUAAUUCACACUUCACGUCGUACACUUAAGCAUUUUCAAGUCACUAGUACACAUUUCCAUUCACUACACUUAAUCAUUUUCAAAUAACUAAUUCACAUUUCAAGGCAUUAUACUUAACCCUUUUUAAGUUCACCUUUCAUGUAACUACACUAAACUAUUUUCAAGUCACUAAUCCAUUUCCCAAGUGAUAACAUUUGAUCAUUUUGAAGUCACUAGUACACAUUUCAAAACACUACACUUGAUCAUUAUAUACAGUUUUAAUUUAAGAUCACAAGAUUUCAAAAUGUUCUUCACUUUGUUAAACUUUGUUUUAAGUUAAACCAGACAAACAAAUUGAAAUGGAGUACUUAAUAUAACUUGACAGUAAUGAACAAUAAUGCACUACAUAGUCCUACCAGCCAACCACAUUACUAACUUACAUACAAAUUAACUUGACAGUAAUGAAACAUAAAGCACUUGUUAGUCCUACCAGUCAACCAUAUUACUAGCUUAAAUACAAAUUAACUUGAUAGUAAUGAACAAUAAUGCACUUUUUAGUCCUAUUAGUCAACCAUAUUAUUAUCUUAAAUACAAAUUUUUGAACACAAUCCUUUAUGUUCUGCCUCUUAUUUAUCUUUGUUAAAUGAGCUUGAAAUUGCAUAAAUGCUCGAGAUCCAAAAGUUGUACCAUAAUUCUAAAUUAUAGCAUAGAUACGAAAUCUGUAAACAAGAAAGUUGUCGAAUGACUUGGUUCACAGAGAACUCAAUAUUGGUAUCUAUUUAAACUGCAGGUAACACAAUGUCAAGUGAUGAUAAAACUUAAAAAGGCAUACAUGUACUCGAUGUGAAAACUAAUUAAUAACUUGAAACAAAAAAUAUAUAGAUGGUGGUACACUGGAGAUAUUCCUCUUAUUAUUGGGAGACGGUGUAUGGUGGCUCUAUGAUCAAGUGGUACGAAGGCCAUAGCCUGAUCCAAAACAUAAAGAGCCUUCUGAUUUUUUUCCAACUUACAAUACAUGGAGAAGCGCAUAACUAAGAACAUAUCUCCCGAAAAGAAUUUGUCUAGCAAAAAUGCAUCUAAGCUGAAGGUACACAAGCAUGCUCGUCAACUUAGGGCCAGUAAAGAUGCCAGACAUUCAAGUCGUACUUUGAUCAUCAUCUACAUUUGUGACUGGUGGACGGCGGGGAUAGUUGAAAAGGAGAAUGAAGGGAAGGCUGGAGUUGUUGUUUCCACCAUUGGUGGCGUUAGGAAAGGAGGCAGCGAAUACGGGGAGAGGAGCAGCAGAUCACCGGCACCUAAACCGUGGUGGUUGGAUAAAGUUAUUGAUUUCGCCAGCGGCGACAACUGGUGUUGAUGGUUGUGACGGCUGCAUAGCUAUUGUACAGCAGCGGCAAACCUUGGGGAGGAGAAAAAUGGUUUAACGGUGGUUGUCGGUGAAGGCGGUGGAGACAGCAUCAAUUAUUUUGGUUUUAGAGAGAGAGGAAGUGUAGAGAGAGGAAAAGAGAGAUGAUAGGGAGAUAAGCGGAUGUUUUUGGUGGAAAUAAGAUUAGGGUUUCUUGUUUUAUUUAAAAGGAGAGGAGUGAGAAAUUUGAUCUCAGUUGUUGAAUCGAUUUUGAUCAACGACUAAGAUUAAAGUUAUUUAAAAAGGGGUCAGAAAAAUGAAUUUCAAUUUGAGCUUAAAAUUGGUAUCAAUUUGGCUGUAAUUGUCAUUAAUUGGAUAAAAAAUUGGCUGAUAAUUUAACACUAAAAGGGAAAUUUAAUGUAAUUGACUGUUAUUUUAACAACAACAACAACAACAACAACAACAACAACAAUAAUAAUAAUAGACAAUGCUUUUGUAAAUCGUGAGUGUGCAUAUUUAUGAAAAAUAAUUUAAUGAAAUUAUGUAAAAUGUCUUAUCUCAACUAAUAAAUGGUAAAAAAUGAUACUAAAAAAUAAUAAAAUAAUUUAUUCAUUUUCUAAAUCAUGAAUGUGACUUGCCGAGAAUUAUUUGAUAGCAAAAUAAUGCGUAAACAGUAUUAAUAUUAAAAUUUAAGUAAUUUUGAUAAAAAUAGCAGUCUAAGAAAGCAUCGGGCGGUCAAAAUUGGGUGUCAACAACACUGAUUUGAUUGUGAGCUCAAAUCUUGAAAUAGUCUUUGUACAGAAUCUCCUAACGUUUUCACUUGAGGUCCAGGCUUCAGCAUGUUAACAUCACCCCAUUGGGAACAAGGAUCCAUCUUCCAACUCGUUCGACCAGUGCACCAUGCACCUGGUGUCAGAAAAUUGCAUCCACCGACGACUAUGCCUAGAGAGAGAAAGGGAGAGAAGAUAGAGAAAGAGCAGAGAGAUGCAACUAUUUUUGUUGAGAAUGAGAGAUUAGGAUUCUUUGAUGUAUAAAAGGAUGAGCGAAUCUCAGUCGCUGGAUCAUUUUUUAUCAACGAUUGAGAUAAAAAUUAUUUAAAAAAGGGUCAGAAAAUAAAAUUAAUGUUAAUACGGUUAAAAUUGACAUUAAUUGAGUACAAGAUGGCUACAAUUUAAAUAAAUUAGAAAAAUUAUUUCAAGUUAGGCUGUUAUUUAAUAAAUAUAGUAAGGUGUCACUAUUAAAAAUAGACAAUGCAUGUAGAAUUAAGAUUAUGUAAAAAAAAUACUUUACAAAAUUAUCGUUAAUAAUUUAAAAUAAAUUAGUUACAAAAUUUAAAAAUAAUAAUAGUUAUUAUAAUAAUAAUGAAAAUCAGACAAUGUAUUUGUAAAUUGUGAGUGUGCAUAUUUAUGAAAGAUGAUUUAAGUAAGAAAAUUAUGUAAAAUAUUGUAUUUGAAUUAAUAAAUUGUAAAAAAUAAUAAUAAAAUUAAUAAAAAUAAUUUGUAAAUAUUUAAAUCAUUAAUGUGACUCGUCGUUAUUUGGGUAGAGGUGUUAGUUAAUCUUGAAUUACUUAUUCAUCACUGAUGACCAUUAAUUUCUCGAUCUCAAUAACGAGUCAAGCUAAGAUUGAUGAUUAGCUCAAAUACAUCUUCGAUAUCAUAUUCAACUGCUUGAUUAGCUCGUGUGAGCUUUACAAGUAUUUUUAAAAUUGAGUCAAGCUAAGGUUUAGUCAGCUCGAAUUAAUAUCAAUUCUGACUCGUUAGCUUCUUGUUAUUGUUGUUGUUGUUGUUGUUGUCAAAUCAUGAAUGUGACACGUUAAUAUUUAUUUGAUAUCAAAAUAAUACGUAGAANNNNNNNNNNNNNNNNNNNNNNNNNNNNNNNNNNNNNNNNNNNNNNNNNNNNNNNNNNNNNNNNNNNNNNNNNAAAAUUGAGUCAAGCUAAGGUUUAUUCAGCUUGAAUUAAUAUCAAUUCUGACUAAAAUUGAUAUUAAUUGAAUAAGAAUUAGGCUAGACAUUACAUAAGCUGGGCAAAUUGAAUUGACUUAGGUUACUAUAUAAUAAAUGUAGGAAAGACGUAAUAAUAAUAUUAUAAUUAUUAUUAUUAUAACAAUAAUAAUAGACAAUGUUUGUAAAUUAUAGGCAUGUAUAAUUGCGGAAAUGAUUUAAUAAAUAUUAGCAAAAUUAUGUAAAAUAUUAUAUAAUGUAAAAAAUAAUAAUAUAAGAAUAAAUCGUAUAUUUUGAAAUCAUGAAUGUCACAUGAUAAUAUUUAUUUGAUAUCAAAAUAAUACGUAGAAAAUAUCAACAUUUAAAAUUAAUAAUUUUUCUAAAAUAGCAGGCUAAGAGGGGUAUCAGGAGGUCAAAAUUGAGUGUCAACACAACUAACCUGAUUUAUUCCCACAAAUUAGGCUCUGUGGAGGGUACAGUGUACGCAUACCUUACUGCUAAGGUAGAUAGGUUGUUUCCAAUAGACCCUCGGUUCAAGAAAAAUAGUCUGAAGCUGUCCAAUUUCAAGAAAUAUAUUAGUGAAAAUUGAUUUGAUAUUGGUCGUCGAUCAAAUAUGAUGAAUGAUUGAGAUUAGACUUGAGGAGAUAAGUCAAAUUGAGAUUAGAUAUUGGGUUAAAAAAAUUGAAUUGAGGAUUUCGAUUGAGUCAAAUUAAACUCAAUUGACAUAAAUUGAGUAUAAAAUGGCUAGAAUUUAAAUAAAUUAGAAAAAUUAAUUUGAAUUAGGUUGCUAUUUAAUAAAUAUAGUAACUAUAUAAAAUUAAAAUUAAAAACAAAUAUAACAAUAAUAAUAAUAAAUAAAUAUUGAUCAAUAGUUGAGAUCUAAAGAUUAAGAAUUUGGUUAAAAAUUGAAUGAAAUUUGAAGUUGAGUUCAAUUGGACACAAUUUGGGCUAGGAUUGUAAUAAAUUGGAUAAAAUUAGGCUAAAAUUGUUACAAAUUGGCAAAAUCAGACUAGGAAAUAAAUAAAUUAAAAAAUUAAAUUGACUAAGGUUGCGGAUUAAUACAAUAAUAAUAAUAACAAUAGUAAAAUAAAUAAUAUAAUUAUGCUCAGAUUAGUUAUGAAUAUAUUGUGUAACUAAAAGUACGACAUCUAAUAUAUUACUUUNNNNNNNNNNNNNNNNNNNNNNNNNNNNNNNNNNNNNNNNNNNNNNNNNNNNNNNNNNNNNNNNNNNNNNNNNNNNNNNNNNNNNNNNNNNNNNNNNNNNNNNNNNNNNUAUAUAUAUAUUUAUUUUAUAUAUUUAGUAUAAAUAAUGUUUUCUCAUUAUUUCUGUUCAUUUCAUCCAUGCUGAUUUAUUUAUAUUUGAAAAUAAAAAAUAGUUUUGAAAAAAAUUAUUUUUUUUAAAAGAAAAAUCACAAAUUUUAAAUGCCCUGUCAUGACAAAGAAAGACUCACUACUUUAAUCUUCAAAAUUAAAAUAAAAAUUUGAAAUAACUGAACCGAAUUUAUAGAAAUUGAAUCAAAUUGAAUUUAUGUUGGUCUGAUUACGGCUGUCAUUUUCGUCAAUUCGAAAAUCGAAAAAACAAAUCGAUAUUAAACAAGCAAAUCGAACAAAUAGAAUGUCCAUCCCUAAUCUCUUCAUAUAUACAAUUCUGAAACUACCUAAUACUUUCAAUGCAAUGUAAAAUAAAUUAAUUUUUUAUUUUAUUUCGUGAUUAUUAUACCUUAUAUCUCAUACCAAACAACUCCUAAAUGUACAUUAUAUUGAUAUAUUAUAUUAUCGUGCAUAGUAUGAUGCCUUACAAUUAUAUUUAAAUUAACCAAUAGAAAAACACACUCUAUUUGAGCCCUGAGUCGUUCUUCGCCUUAUCUUAGACCAACAAAAUUUCACAUCUUUAAUUUUUUGGUGAUAACAUAACGAGUCAAGCUAAGGUUUAUUUAGCUCGAAUACAUCUGUGACACCAUCUAUGUCAACAAACUAAUUUUAUUUUCUUGAGCAUCUUUCGCUUGAUCAUACGUGUCCACCAAUUUAAUGUCUGAUUUCUUUUUAUUUUAGGUUUCUUAUUCUUCAAGUUUAUCCUUUUCUUAUUUAAAUUUUUCAAGUCACAAAAUCCUACAUAAAUCUCCAAGAAAUAGUUUUAGCUAAAUUUGUAGCAACACAAUCCCCCAAUAAUUUCUCAAGUAAUAAUUUCGUAGGUAAAUCCACAAGAAAUAAUUUCAGCUAAAUUUGUAGCAACACAAUCCCCCAAUAAUUUCUCAAGUAAUAAUUUCGUAGGUAAAUCCCCAAGAAUAAAUCCCCAGCAAAAUUCGCAGAACAAAAUUCUCAAAUAAUUUCUCAGGUAAUAAAAUCCAUUAAAUAAAUUUUCACCAAAAUAUCUCUACAUAAAUCUGUAGGAUAAAUUAUCUGAAAAUUUUCCUAUGGAUUUAAAAAAUAUAUAUAUUUGUUUAUAUACUUGCGGAUUUACCUAGAGAUAAAAUACCCACUGACAUAUUUCCCCAGGUAAUGUCCCAAGUAAUAAUUUUGCAGGUAAAUUCCCAGCAAAAUUCAUAGCACAAAAUCCCCAAAUAAUUUUCUAGGUAAUAAAAUCCAUUACAUAAAUUUUCAGCAAAAUAUCUCUACGUAAAUUCAUAGGAUAAAUUACUUGGAAAUUUUUCUAUGGACUUAAAAAAUAUAUAUAUUUUUGUCCAUAUACCUGCGGAUUUACCUAGAGAUAAAAUACCUACUGAUACAUUUCUCCAGGUAAUAUCGCAAGUAAUAAUUUCACAGGUAAAUUCCCAAGAAUAAAUCCCCAGCAAAAUUUGCAACACAAAAUUCCCAAAUAAUUUCCUAGGUAAUAAAAUUCAUUACAUAAAUUUCCACCAAAAUAUCUCUAUGUAAAUCCGUAGGAUAAAUUACCUGAAAAUUUUUCUAUGGAUUUAAAAAAAUAUAUAUAUAUUUGUCCAUAUACCUGCAGAUUUACCUAGAGAUAAAAUACCUACGAUACAUUUCCCCAGGUAAUUUUGCAAGUACGAAAUUUGCGCAAUAUGACACCAAAUUUACCUGCAAAAUUUGUUGCAAAUAUAUAGUCCACAGGUAAUAUAUUUUAAUGUUGAGGAAUUUAAUAUUUUCGUAGGUAAAUCCACAUAUAUUUCCUGCGAUAUAUUUCUCUAGGUAUAAUUCCCAUGUAAUUUACAGUUUUCUAGUUGUGCCAGUUUUUUAGCCAUGUUGGACAUUAUCUAGUUUCUUUAAGCCUUGUUCUCUUAACUUAGUUUAGUGACUGAUUUUUAGACGUUAGUGAUUUAGUUGUUUUGGAUAUUGCUGAUCAUGGAAUCAUGUACAAAGUAAUGACUUAAUUAUAGGCUUUAGUUAUUGCAUUUAUUUUUAGUAUUUAAGCACCACUUCAGAUUAAUGAAAAAUCAACCUUUGUGCAGUAAAUUAUUUGUUUUCUUCUUUCUUUCUUUGUUUUCACUUCAAAGAGUUGAAGUUAACCUUAUAACUCCAACAAGAGUUAUGAAAUUUUUUGGUUAGGGUGAAUUUGGACAAAAUUUGAUUGUUGUGUAGUGUAGAGAUCCUUCGUGUCUUGUGGUGGUGGGUAUGUUGAUUUUAUAUGUGUGGUGUGAUAAAGACUUCAGUGAUAUAUAGAAAUUUAUGGGACUAAAUUUGGGUAUAUAGAAAUCCAUGUAUGGUGAUUGCCGCGAUAGAAUAAAUUUGUGUUGUUGAAAGACAAAGUAUGUGUUGCAAAAAAAAAGGGAAAUAUAAAAUAUCCAUGAGCUACUGUUUAGGCUCCGCUGUAGAGGCUUGGGCUUGCUACAACGGGACUGUUGUAGUGGUGGGAGGAUCAUUGUUGUAGUUCACAACUUAGGUGAAAAACUGCUAUAGCGGGGCUAUUGGCCGUUAUCGGUAUCACUAUAGCCAGUGGGGGACCACUAUAGUGGACGUCGGGCAGUUAAUUGCCUGAUUUUGAGUUUUGAUGUUAUUUUGUACUAAACACUUCCAAAAUUCAUGCUAGGGUUGUGUGAGGCAAUUUUCUCUAAUUUUGGGUGAUUUCCAUCAUUGAGGUAAGAUUUUUCCACCAUUCUUUCAUAGAUUAAUUCCUUUAAAUCACUAGAAUCAUGGUGUUAGGAAGAAAUUUAUAGGUUAAGCCCUAAAAAUGAUGAAUUGAAGUGAAUUGCCUGUGGGUAGGCUUAAACUCAGUGGUAAAUGGUUCUAGAUUGCUAGACUUAACUUCCUAACGUAAAAUUUAUCUUCUUUAACGUAAGUUAUGGGAAAAUUGUGUGGAUUAAAGGGUGAAAAACCUCAAAUUGAUGGAUGGUUUAGGUUCUGAACAAGGGCAAAACCUAUGGGUUUUAGUUACUAAUGGUUGUAAAUAGAGAAUAAGUUAUUAAUUUCUCCUUAUUUACUUUUUUUAGAUCAAGAAUAAACAGAAAAGACAAGAAAAGGAAAAACUUUGACAAAUUAGAGCAUUUCAAGUUUACAUUUGAGGUUGGUUAUGAUUUAAAUUAUAGUUAUAGAUUUAAUUUAGUUUUUCCGCCUAUCCAUGAGUUGAAUAAUUGUGAAUUGACCUUUAGACAUGCUUUUAUUGUUGAAUUGACUAGGCAAUUGAUUUCAUUCACAUAAACGAUGAACCUUGAAUUUGACUUAGUGUCUUGAUAAAUUGUGCUAUGGUAUAUUUGGUGCACUUCGUGAUAUUAUUAUUGAUAAUUUGUUGUGAUGUUCACAUAUUGUGAUAUCCGAAGGAUCAGGUACCACGUUGGAAGUAUUGCUUACAGUUUGAUAUUAGGAGGGAUGAGUGCCACACCUAUACGAUACAUGGACUGAGCUCGUCCCCGGUAGGUUAUGACUAUUGGACAUAUAAAACCUCUUGGUAUGUGUGCAAACUUUCAUGAUUAGGUUGAUGGCCAUGAUGCAUUGUUCAUAUCAUUCAUUGAUUGUAUGGUUGUUUUGUGUAAGUGUUGUGCCAAAUAGAAGUAGCUUAAGACUACUUGUGAGAUGACUAGAUGAGUUUACACGUGUGAUAAUUAGCAGGACAUAGGCUUUCACCUUAUUGUAAUUUAACUUAGCUUGAGAUGACAGUUUGAUGGUGUUAGUAAAAUGUUGGUUGUUCCAUUGUGUAUAAAUUAUGGAGUAAUUACUUGUAUAGAGGGGCGGCUCAACCCUUUCGAAGAAAAGACAGCUGCCUAAGGCCCCCAAAAGUUGCGGGCCUCAUAUUUUUUAAGUAAUAAUAAAUUAUAAAUUUUAAAAAAUAUAUUAAAUACUAUUUAUAAAGAAAAGAAACUUUUUAUAUAAAAAAUUUAGGAGUUUGAUAUAGUAAAAACUUUUUAAUGCAUUGACUAUAUUAUUAAUUCAAAAAGAAUUAUUAAAUACAAUUAUAUAAUUAUAAAAAUAGACUUUAUAAAAAUAAUUAUUUUUUCUUAAAAAUAUAAAGCCCACAUUUGAUUUUUGCCUUAAGCCAUGAAUUUGCUUGAGCCGCCCCUGCUUGUAUAUCUUGAUUGCUAGUUGCUCUUAUUUGAUUUAUUUAUUUAUGUUUAUGUAUGGUUUUUAUGUUAAGUCAGCCGAUGAUGCCUACUAUUACAUAGUGUUUGAACUGAUACUACUUGUGCUCUUCUUUUGUUGAGUGUAGAAAGUGUUCCAACGAUUGAGAUGAGGCCUCAAAUUUAGUUCAUCACCAAACUUAUCAAUCCAAGGGUGAGCACCUAUCUUUAAGAAGCUGUUGGAUUUUUUCAUUGAUCAUGUCACUCUUUCAGAUAAUGAUAUUUCUCUACUAGUUAAUUUUGAGAUACUUAUUCAAACUUCAAUUUUACGGUUUUAGAAUGUUCUUGCAUGAUGUCUUUCGGGUCUUGGGGAUUGUGGUAGAUAGUUGCUGGUUUUCCACACUUAUUAAUUAAUUGAUUAGUUUUGAAUUUUUUUAUUAUUAAAGUUGAUAUUAUGAUAUUCUGCCUUAAAAAUGGCUAAAUGACUAGGUUGAUAAAUGGGUUAAAAGGUUCUCCCAUCGAAAGAUUAGUGUGGGUGCCGCUCACGAUCAUUUGAAUCAUGACAGGUCCAGAGAAGGCAUGGUAUCUAUCUCCAGAAGGCUUUGAGUUACUUUGCAGAACCGACCUGUGAUAUUAUAAAAGAGGCAUUUGUCAAUAAGGUCGAGGGACUAUUCCAUCUGCUUUGUCGAUAAUUGGAACCUAUCAACAAUAGAAUUUUCAUAUCUUAUAUGACACUAAGAAGUUCAGAUUAGGA
Molecule: long non-coding RNA, 21623 nt
Filed under: Capsicum annuum
Lineage: Eukaryota; Viridiplantae; Streptophyta; Magnoliopsida; Solanales; Solanaceae
Description: long non-coding RNA (CANN_LNC011675)
Source: RNAcentral